GGAAUAUUGGGCAAUGGCCGAGAGGCUGACCCAGCCAUGCCGCGUGCAGGAAGAAGGCCUUCUGGGUUGUAAACUGCUUUUACCAGGGAAGAAAACGCUCUUGCGAGAGUAACUGACGGUACCUGGUGAAUAAGCACCGGCUAACUCCUUGCCAGCAGCCGCGGUAAUACGGAGGGUGCAAGCGUUGUCCGGAUUUAUUGGGUUUAAAGGGUGCGUAGGCGGCCCGUUAAGUCAGCGGUGAAAUCCCGGGGCUCAACCCCGGAACUGCCGUUGAUACUGGCGGGCUUGAGUUCGGUCGAGGCGGGCGGAACUGGUGGUGUAGCGGUGAAAUGCUUAGAUACCACCAAGAACCCCGAUUGCGUAGGCAGCUCGCUUGGCCGAAACUGACGCUGAGGCACGAAAGCGUGGGGAGCGAAC
RNAcentral lists this ribosomal RNA (417 nucleotides) under uncultured bacterium. RNAcentral describes it as "bacterial SSU rRNA". It matches the Rfam family "Bacterial small subunit ribosomal RNA", at positions 358 to 773 of the family's 1533-position model. The record is from RNAcentral.